ACGGAGGGUGCGAGCGUUAAUCGGAAUUACUGGGCGUAAAGCGCACGCAGGCGGCUUGUUAAGCUAGAGGUGAAAGCCCCGCGCUCAACGUGGGAACUGCCUUUAGAACUGGCAGGCUAGAGUCUUGGAGAGGGGAGUGGAAUUCCAGGUGUAGCGUGAAAUGCGUAGAUAUCUGGAGGAACAUCAGUGGCGAAAGGCGUCCCUGGCCAAAGACUGACGCUCAUGUGCGAAAGUGCGGGUAGCGAACAGGAUUAGAUACCCCGUGUCAUC
Molecule: ribosomal RNA, 270 nt
Filed under: uncultured bacterium
Lineage: Bacteria
Description: partial 16S ribosomal RNA
Rfam family: Bacterial small subunit ribosomal RNA
Source: RNAcentral